RNAcentral lists this ribosomal RNA (1383 nucleotides) under metagenome. RNAcentral's name for it is "bacterial SSU rRNA". It matches the Rfam family "Bacterial small subunit ribosomal RNA". The record is from RNAcentral.
AGAGUUUGAUCCUGGCUCAGGAUGAACGCUAGCGGCAGGCUUAACACAUGCAAGUCGAGGGGUAACGAUGGCUUCGGCCAGGCGACGACCGGCGCACGGGUGCGUAACGCGUAUGCAACCUACCUUUAACUGGAGAAUAGCCCAAAGAAAUUCGGAUUAAUACUCCAUAAUAUCAUUUUAACUCAUGUUAUUUUGAUUAAAGUUCCGGCGGUUAAAGAUGGGCAUGCGUGACAUUAGAUAGUUGGUGAGGUAAUGGCUCACCAAGUCUACGAUGUCUAGGGGGUCUGAGAGGAUGAUCCCCCACACUGGUACUGAGACACGGACCAGACUCCUACGGGAGGCAGCAGUGAGGAAUAUUGGUCAAUGGGCGCAAGCCUGAACCAGCCAUGCCGCGUGCAGGAUGAAUGCCCUACGGGUUGUAAACUGCUUUUCUAUAGGAAGAAACUUUCGAACGUGUUCGGAACUGACGGUACUAUAGGAAUAAGCAUCGGCUAACUCCGUGCCAGCAGCCGCGGUAAUACGGAGGAUGCAAGCGUUAUCCGGAUUUAUUGGGUUUAAAGGGUGCGUAGGCGGAAUAAUAAGUCAGUGGUGAAAUCCUGCAGCUUAACUGUAGAACUGCCAUUGAUACUGUUAUUCUUGAGUAUAGUUGAGGUGGGCGGAAUGUGUAAUGUAGCGGUAAAAUGCUUAGAUAUUACACAGAACGCCAAUUGCGAAGGCAGCUCACUAAGCUAUUACUGACGCUGAGGCACGAAAGCGUGGGGAGCGAACAGGAUUAGGUACCCUGGUAGUCCACGCUGUAAACGAUGAUCACUCGUUGUUGGCGAUAUACUGUCAGCGACUGAGCUAAAGCAUUAAGUGAUCCACCUGGGGAGUACGCUCGCAAGAGUGAAACUCAAAGGAAUUGACGGGGGCCCGCACAAGCGGAGGAACAUGUGGUUUAAUUCGAUGAUACGCGAGGAACCUUACCUGGGCUUAAAUGCAGGACGACAGAUCGGGAAACUGAUCCUUCUUCGGACGGCUUGCAAGGUGCUGCAUGGUUGUCGUCAGCUCGUGCCGUGAGGUGUCGGGUUAAGUCCCAUAACGAGCGCAACCCCUAUUGUUAGUUACCAGCGGAUAAUGCCGGGGACUCUAACGAAACUGCCGGUGUAAACCGAGAGGAAGGUGGGGAUGACGUCAAAUCAGCACGGCCCUUAUGUCCAGGGCUACACACGUGUUACAAUGGCUAGUACAAAGGGCAGCUACCUGGUGACAGGAUGCUAAUCUCUAAAACUGGUCUUAGUUCGGAUCGAAGUCUGCAACUCGACUUCGUGAAGGUGGAUUCGCUAGUAAUCGCGCAUCAGCCAUGGCGCGGUGAAUACGUUCCCGGGCCUUGUACACACCGCU